Molecule: ribosomal RNA, 200 nt
Filed under: uncultured bacterium
Lineage: Bacteria
Description: partial 16S ribosomal RNA
Rfam family: Bacterial small subunit ribosomal RNA
Source: RNAcentral
AUUGAACGCUGGCGGCGUGCUUAACACAUGCAAGUCGUGCGGUAACAGGCGUAGCAAUACGUGCUGACGAGCGGCGAACGGGUGCGUAAUACAUGGGAAUCUGCCCUUUAGUGGGGAAUAACUCGGCGAAAGCCGGGCUAAUGCCGCAUAAGAUCUUCGGAUGAAAGCGGGGGAUCGUAAGACCUCGCGCUGAUGGAUGA